AGAGUUUGAUCCUGGCUCAGAACGAACGCUGGCGGCGUGGAUAAGACAUGCAAGUCGAACGAGAGAAUUGCUAGCUUGUUAAUAAUUCUCUAGUGGCGCACGGGUGAGUAACACGUGAGUAACCUGCCCCCGAGAGCGGGAUAGCCCUGGGAAACUGGGAUUAAUACCGCAUAGUAUCGAAAGAUUAAAGCAGCAAUGCGCUUGGGGAUGGGCUCGCGGCCUAUUAGUUAGUUGGUGAGGUAACGGCUCACCAAGGCGAUGACGGGUAGCCGGUCUGAGAGGAUGUCCGGCCACACUGGAACUGAGACACGGUCCAGACACCUACGGGUGGCAGCAGUCGAGAAUCAUUCACAAUGGGGGAAACCCUGAUGGUGCGACGCCGCGUGGGGGAAUGAAGGUCUUCGGAUUGUAAACCCCUGUCAUGUGGGAGCAAAUUAAAAAGAUAGUACCACAAGAGGAAGAGACGGCUAACUCUGUGCCAGCAGCCGCGGUAAUACAGAGGUCUCAAGCGUUGUUCGGAAUCACUGGGCGUAAAGCGUGCGUAGGCUGUUUCGUAAGUCGUGUGUGAAAGGCGCGGGCUCAACCCGCGGACGGCACAUGAUACUGCGAGACUAGAGUAAUGGAGGGGGAACCGGAAUUCUCGGUGUAGCAGUGAAAUGCGUAGAUAUCGAGAGGAACACUCGUGGCGAAGGCGGGUUCCUGGACAUUAACUGACGCUGAGGCACGAAGGCCAGGGGAGCGAAAGGGAUUAGAUACCCCUGUAGUCCUGGCAGUAAACGAUGAAUGCUAGGUGUCGGGGAGCAAAGCUCUUCGGUGCCGCCGCAAAGCCAUUAAGCAUUCCACCUGGGGAGUACGUUCGCAAGAAUGAAACUCAAAGGAAUUGACGGGGACCCGCACAAGCGGUGGAGUAUGUGGCUUAAUUCGAUGCAACGCGAAGAACCUUACCUGGGCUUGACAUGUAAUGAACAACAUGUGAAAGCAUGCGACUCUUCGGAGGCGUUACACAGGUGCUGCAUGGCCGUCGUCAGCUCGUGUCGUGAGAUGUUUGGUUAAGUCCAGCAACGAGCGCAACCCUUAUGGUCAGUUACUACGCAAGAGGACUCUGGCCAGACUGCCGUUGACAAAACGGAGGAAGGUGGGGAUGACGUCAAAUCAUCAUGCCCUUUAUGACUUGGGCUACACACGUACUACAAUGGCGUUAAACAAAGAGAAGCAAGACCGCGAGGUGGAGCAAAACUCAGAAACAACGUCCCAGUUCGGACUGCAGGCUGCAACUCGCCUGCACGAAGUCGGAAUUGCUAGUAAUCGUGGAUCAGCAUGCCACGGUGAAUACGUUCCCGGGCCUUGUACUCAAAGCCCGUCA
This 1363-nucleotide ribosomal RNA is filed under the name uncultured bacterium. Its description in RNAcentral is "bacterial SSU rRNA". It matches the Rfam family "Bacterial small subunit ribosomal RNA". The record is from RNAcentral.